This is a non-coding RNA of Acanthosepion pharaonis, 106 nucleotides long. The record is from the annotation of a GenBank genome assembly. NCBI's taxonomy places the organism in Eukaryota, Metazoa, Mollusca, Cephalopoda, Sepiida, Sepiidae.
AGCCGUAUCAUGCUAAAACAGCGGUUCACAUAUGAUCACCAAAGUUCAGCAACAUCGAGCCUGGUCAGUACCUAGAUGAGUGACUGCUUGGAAAUACCAGGUGCUA